This 315-nucleotide unclassified non-coding RNA is filed under the name plant metagenome. RNAcentral describes it as "partial contains small subunit ribosomal RNA and internal transcribed spacer 1". The stretch from base 1 to 46 matches the Rfam family "Eukaryotic small subunit ribosomal RNA", at positions 1786 to 1831 of the family's 1831-position model. The record is from RNAcentral.
AAGUCGUAACAAGGUUUCCGUAGGUGAACCUGCGGAAGGAUCAUUAUUGAAUUUCAAGAGGGAUUGGUUGUUGCUGGCUUUUCGAAGUAAUGUGCACACCGUCUCUUCUUAGUUCUCACAUUCACCUGUGCACCUCUUGUAGACCCGAGACAAACUUAUCGAGGAAACUCGGAUGUGAGGGUUGCGGGCUUCCUCAGAAGUCGGCUUCCCUCUAACUGACUCGCGUGUCUAUGUCUUUACAAACCCUUUAUAAAAAAUGUUAACAGAAUGUCAUACAACGGUUCGCCUAAAAAAGUGAGCUUUAAAUUAAUACAA